GUUAUGUUUUCAAAAUAUGUCACACAAUCUUUAAGAUUAUGUUUUGAAAUUAGUCCCCAUUCUCAAAGAGUAACUCACCGUCUCAAGGUUGAUUUAGAUCUGAUACACAUAGGCUUUUGGGCCAAUGUUUAGUUUCAAAUCAAGCCCUCUGACUUGGUGGAUCAGGGUGACUUGUUAAUAGUCAGGAUGGGCCUACGGGCUAGCCGUUGCAUCUCCUUUGGACCAUCUAGGUAAAGAAUCCAUGCUGGCUUCCAUAAAGCUCCCUAAGUUGGGUCUAUGACAAAAUAAUCUAUAUUUCUUCUGUUAUGAAUCAACGAAGAAGCGAGAGAGAUGCCUAUAUAUAUAUAUAUAUAUAUAUUCCUUUUUUUUCCUAUUACCAUUACAAAGAUUUGUUCUUCCUUGACCUAGAACUAGGACCCAAGAGAUACCUUCAAACUAAUUGGAUACUUACUUUGCAGAACUCCAAGCAAGGAAUCCAUCCACUACGGAGAAGGUACUCAAUUUGCUUGAGCAAAGCCUCGAUGGAGAGAGGCGGAAGGUAAGAGAGGGUCUCGAAC
This 557-nucleotide long non-coding RNA is filed under the name Elaeis guineensis (African oil palm). RNAcentral describes it as "long non-coding RNA (EGUI_LNC006966)". Lineage: Eukaryota; Viridiplantae; Streptophyta; Magnoliopsida; Arecales; Arecaceae. The record is from RNAcentral.